UGGGGAAUUUUGGACAAUUGGGCGAAAGCCUGAUCCAGCAAUGCCGCGUGUGUGAAGAAGGCCUUCGGGUUGUAAAGCACUUUUGUCCGGAAAGAAAUCCUUGGCUCUAAUACAGUCGGGGGAUGACGGUACCGGAAGAAUAAGCACCGGCUAACUACGUGCCAGCAGCCGCGGUAAUACGUAGGGUGCAAGCGUUAAUCGGAAUUACUGGGCGUAAAGCGUGCGCAGGCGGUUUGCUAAGACCGAUGUGAAAUCCCCGGGCUCAACCUGGGAACUGCAUUGGUGACUGGCAGGCUAGAGUAUGGCAGAGGGGGGUAGAAUUCCACGUGUAGCAGUGAAAUGCGUAGAGAUGUGGAGGAAUACCGAUGGCGAAGGCAGCCCCCUGGGCCAAUACUGACGCUCAUGCACGAAAGCGUGGGGAGCAAACAGGAUUAGAUACCCUGGUAGUCCACGCCCUAAACGAUGUCAACUAGUUGUUGGGGAUUCAUUUCCUUAGUAACGUAGCUAACGCGUGAAGUUGACCGCCUGGGGAGUACGGUCGCAAGAUUAAAACUCAAAUGAAUUGACGGGGUCAUAGCUGUUU
Molecule: ribosomal RNA, 583 nt
Filed under: uncultured bacterium
Lineage: Bacteria
Description: partial 16S ribosomal RNA
Rfam family: Bacterial small subunit ribosomal RNA
Source: RNAcentral